GAACUACUCCCUCCGUUCGGAAUUACUUGUCUCGGAAAUGAAUGUAUCUAGAACUAAAAUACGUCUAGAUACAUCCAUUUCUGUGACAAGUAAUUCCGAACGGAGGGAGUACGAG
Non-coding RNA from Triticum urartu, 115 nucleotides. The record is from Rfam. NCBI's taxonomy places the organism in Eukaryota, Viridiplantae, Streptophyta, Magnoliopsida, Poales, Poaceae.